RNAcentral lists this ribosomal RNA (479 nucleotides) under uncultured bacterium. RNAcentral describes it as "partial 16S ribosomal RNA". It matches the Rfam family "Bacterial small subunit ribosomal RNA", at positions 28 to 507 of the family's 1533-position model. The record is from RNAcentral.
GAUGAACGCUCGCGGGAGGCCUAACACAUGCAAGCCGAGCGGUAUUGUUUCUUCGGAAAUGAGAGAGCGGCGUACGGGUGCGUAACACGUGUGCAACCUGCCUUUAUCUGGGGGAUAGCCUUUCGAAAGGAAGAUUAAUACUCCAUAAUAUAUUGAACGGCAUCGUUUAAUAUUGAAAGCUCCGGCGGAUAGAGAUGGGCACGCGCAAGAUUAGCUAGUUGGUGAGGUAACGGCUCACCAAGGCGAUGAUCUUUAGGGGGCCUGAGAGGGUGAUCCCCCACACUGGUACUGAGACACGGACCAGACUCCUACGGGAGGAAGCAGUGAGGAAUAUUGGUCAAUGGGUGCAAGCCUGAACCAGCCAUCCCGCGUGAAGGACGACUGCCCUAUGGGUUGUAAACUUCUUUUGUAUAGGGAUAAACCUACCCUCGAGAGGGUAGCUGAAGGUACUAUACGAAUAAGCACCGGCUAACUCCGUG